Molecule: unclassified non-coding RNA, 391 nt
Filed under: soil metagenome
Description: partial contains 5.8S ribosomal RNA, internal transcribed spacer 2, and large subunit ribosomal RNA
Rfam family: 5.8S ribosomal RNA (bases 1-122)
Source: RNAcentral
GAUGAAGAACGCAGCGAAAUGUGAUACUUGGUGUGAAUUGCAGAAUCCCGUGAACCAUCGAGUCUUUGAACGCAAGUUGCGCCCGAAGCCAUUAGGCCGAGGGCACGCCUGCCUGGGCGUCACACGUCGUUGCCCCCCCAUCUACUCCUUCGGGAUUGUGGGGGGCGGAUGAUGGCCUCCCGUGCGCCUCGUCGCGCGGUUGGCAUAAAUACCAAGUCCUCGGCGACGCACGCCACGACAAUCGGUGGUUGCGAAACCUCGGUUGCCCGUCGUGUGCGGUCGUCGCGCAUCGAGGGCUCGAAAAAAUUGCCGGGCUCCGGCUCGGCUUUCAACGCGACCCCAGGUCAGGCGGGGUUACCCGCUGAAUUUAAGCAUAUCAAUAAGCGGAGGA